AACAAAGGUUCAGAAAGCGAAAAUCAAAAAGGAUAGGUGCAGAGACUCGAUGGAAGCUGUUCUAACGAAUGGAGUUCAUUGUCUUACGUUGGUAGAGGAAUCCUUCUAUCGAAACUUCAUAAAAGAUGAAGGAUAAACCUGUAUACAUAAUAUAGAAGAAUUGUUGUGAAUCGAUUCCAUAUUGAAGAAAGAAUCGAAUAUUCAUUGAUCAAACAAUUCACUCCAUAAUCUGAUAUAUCUUUUGAAGAACUUAUUAAUCGGACGAGAAUAAAGAUAGAGUCCCGUUCUACAUGUCAAUACCGGCAACAAUGAAAUUUAUAGUAAGAGGAAAAUCCGUCGAUUUAAAAAAUCGUGAGGGUUCAAGUCCCUCUAUCCCCA
Molecule: non-coding RNA, 378 nt
Filed under: Jurinea ceratocarpa
Lineage: Eukaryota; Viridiplantae; Streptophyta; Magnoliopsida; Asterales; Asteraceae
Source: RNAcentral